RNAcentral lists this ribosomal RNA (708 nucleotides) under uncultured bacterium. RNAcentral describes it as "bacterial SSU rRNA". It matches the Rfam family "Bacterial small subunit ribosomal RNA", at positions 102 to 797 of the family's 1533-position model. The record is from RNAcentral.
AUUGGUGAGUAACACGUGGGUGACAUACCUUUUAGAGGGGAUAGCUAUUAGAAAUAGAGGGUAAUACCGGAUAGAUCACUGUUUACGGAAGGUAGACAGUGGGAAAGGAGCUUCGGCUCCGCGCCGGGAUCGGUCUGCGGCCCAUCAGCUGGACGGCGGGGUAAAGGCCCGCCGUGGCGAGGACGGGUAUCCGGCCUGAGAGGGCGGACGGACACAUUGGGACUGAGAUACGGCCCAGACUCCUACGGGAGGCAGCAGGUAAGAAUAUUCCGCAAUGGGGGGAACCCUGACGGAGCGACGCCGCGUGAACGAAGAAGGCCGGAAGGUUGUAAAGUUCUUUUCUGUCCGAGGAAUAAGUGUAGGAGGAAAUGCCUGCAUGGUGACGGUAGGGCAGGAAUAAGCACCGGCUAAUUACGUGCCAGCAGCCGCGGUAAUACGUAGGGUGCAAGCGUUAAUCGGAAUUACUGGGCGUAAAGCGUGCGCAGGCGGUUUUGUAAGACCGAUGUGAAAUCCCCGGGCUCAACCUGGGAACUGCAUUGGUGACUGCAAGGCUGGAGUGCGGCAGAGGGGGAUGGAAUUCCGCGUGUAGCAGUGAAAUGCGUAGAUAUGCGGAGGAACACCGAUGGCGAAGGCAAUCCCCUGGGCCUGCACUGACGCUCAUGCACGAAAGCGUGGGGAGCAAACAGGAUUAGAUACCCUGGUAGUCCA